This 739-nucleotide ribosomal RNA is filed under the name uncultured bacterium. RNAcentral's name for it is "bacterial SSU rRNA". It matches the Rfam family "Bacterial small subunit ribosomal RNA", at positions 164 to 877 of the family's 1533-position model. The record is from RNAcentral.
UAAUACCGGAUAAGCCCACAGCCUUUUCGGAGGCAGCGGGAAAAGAUGGCCUCUUCUUGAAAGCUAUUGUUAUCAGAUGAGUCCGCGGUCCAUUAGCUAGUUGGUAGGGUAAUGGCCUACCAAGGCGACGAUGGAUAGCUGGUUUGAGAGAAUGAUCAGCCACACUGGAACUGAGACACGGUCCAGACUCCUACGGGAGGCAGCAGUGGGGAAUUUUGCGCAAUGGGGGAAACCCUGACGCAGCAACGCCGCGUGAGUGAUGAAGGUUUUCGGAUCGUAAAGCUCUGUCAAGAGGGAAGAAACCUCAGAAAGCUAAUACCUUUCUGACUUGACGGUACCUCUAGAGGAAGCACCGGCUAACUCCGUGCCAGCAGCCGCGGUAAUACGGAGGGUGCAAGCGUUGUUCGGAAUUAUUGGGCGUAAAGCGCGUGUAGGCGGUUUACUAAGUCUGAUGUGAAAGCCCCGGGCUCAACCUGGGAAGUGCAUUGGAUACUGGUAAACUUGAGUACGGGAGAGGGAAGUGGAAUUUCGAGUGUAGGGGUGAAAUCCGUAGAUAUUCGAAGGAACACCAGUAGCGAAGGCGGCUUCCUGGACCGAUACUGACGCUGAGACGCGAAAGCGUGGGGAGCAAACAGGAUUAGAUACCCUGGUAGUCCACGCCGUAAACGAUGGGUACUAGGUGUCGCGGGUAUUGACCCCUGCGGUGCCGAAGCUAACGCAUUAAGUACCCCCGCCUGGG